RNAcentral lists this ribosomal RNA (694 nucleotides) under uncultured bacterium. RNAcentral describes it as "bacterial SSU rRNA". It matches the Rfam family "Bacterial small subunit ribosomal RNA", at positions 119 to 809 of the family's 1533-position model. The record is from RNAcentral.
CGGAAUCUGCCUUUUUGUGGGGGAUAACGUAGGGAAACUUACGCUAAUACCGCAUACGACCUACGGGUGAAAGCGGAGGACCUUAGGGCUUCGCGCAGAAAGAUGAGCCGACGUCGGAUUAGCUAGUUGGAGGGGUAAUGGCCCACCAAGGCGACGAUCCGUAGCUGGUCUGAGAGGAUGAUCAGCCACACUGGGACUGAGACACGGCCCAGACUCCUACGGGAGGCAGCAGUGGGGAAUAUUGGACAAUGGGCGCAAGCCUGAUCCAGCCAUGCCGCGUGUGUGAAGAAGGCCUUCGGGUUGUAAAGCACUUUUGUACGGGAAGAAAAGCAAUCGGUUAAUACCCGGUUGUCAUGACGGUACCGUAAGAAUAAGCACCGGCUAACUUCGUGCCAGCAGCCGCGGUAAUACGAAGGGUGCAAGCGUUACUCGGAAUUACUGGGCGUAAAGCGUGCGUAGGUGGUUUGUUAAGUCUGAUGUGAAAGCCCCGGGCUCAACCUGGGAAUGGCAUUGGAUACUGGCAGUCUAGAGUGUGGGAGAGGGUAGCGGAAUUCCUGGUGUAGCGGUGAAAUGCGCAGAUAUCAGGAGGAACACCGGUGGCGAAGGCGGGUCUCUGGGUAGUAACUGACGCUGAGGAGCGAAAGCAUGGGUAGCGAACAGGAUUAGAUACCCUGGUAGAAUCACUAGUGAAUUC